CGGUUGCAGGACCCUCCCUCCGCUAACGGCCGGCCAGGGUGGCCCUAACGGCCCGGGUGGCCCUAACGCAAGCCCUACUGGUGGUGGCUGCGAGAAACGCAAAGGGGAAGGAGAAAAGAGGCCUGAAGAAGGUGACUUGCUUGACCAACAGAACGUAGCACGAGUGAAAUUCUAAGAUUUCCAAGGCCAGGUCAUAAGAAGUCUUGCAGCUUCCACCCAGCCCUUUGAAGAACUCACUCUGGUGAUCCUGAGUCACCUUGGAAGAAGUCUGACUCCCUUCAGGUCAUCAUGCUAGAGAGGCCACACGUGUGCCAGUCAACAUGCCAGCUGAGCCCAGUCUUCCAGCCGAGGCACCAUACUGGAAGAAGCUUUGGGAGGCAACUUGGCAGGCCUGGAGAGAAGAGACGUCUCUCCCACAGCAUCAGCAAACUAACACAUCAGAAGAGGGACUGAUGGGCUGUCCGCUUUGCCCAGAACCCCACCCAGCUGCUAGAACCUGCUGGCUGUCUCCCGGGCCCUCCGCUCCUCCGGGGACCCUGUGCUGUUGUCCUGCGGUUUGCGCCAUUCCUUACCUCACGUUACUAAACCAAUAGCACUAUUUGUGGUCAUUUUUGGCAGAUUACCACAUCUUGUUCAUUGAGAAUGUCUUUUACUCCCUAAUGUAUUUACCUCUCGUGGACUUAAUGUGACUGAAUAAUGACCGUCUUUGCAGGAGCAGAAGAGCCUUUGCAACUACUGGCAUUACAUAAACACUUGGAAUCUUGCAGCCGUGGGCCUGUGCUGGGUGAGGGAGGAAGUGGGAAGGUUUGGUGCUGGGCUGAGCGGCACAUGGCAGACCCUCAGCGGGGUCAGGAGAGGCCAGGGAGGCCCUUGUGAGGCCUGAGGAGAGCCGUCUUGGGCAGUGGCUGCUCUCACACCUCCUCCUCUUUUUUUUUUUUGCUUGUUAGGGCCUGUAAACAUGCUGUAAACAACUGGUACUUGAGGAACCAGGAGAGAGAGAGCACCAGGACACGCUGUUACGUAACUGAACCCUCGACGCCCCUUGAGAAUGACAUGUUUGCAAGUUCCCAGGGACUGAUGCUACUGGGGCAACGAGGGAGAGAAGCCCCGCUUCAUCCUCCCCUUCCUCCUCCUCGGCCCACAUUUCCUCCUGUGGAAAUACUGGCUACCACGAGGGGUUCUAGCUUCAGCGCUGCGUUUUCUUGCCUGUGGCCCUUGUGACUGGCAUAGAAAUAAUUCAGCUGUUUCCAUUUUAAUUCCUCACCACAUGGCCAGAAUUGCUUAUCAAUGUAUAUUUUAAAAGGACAAAAAAAAUAUUUUAGGAGUUCCUGUUGUGGCGCAGUGGUUAACGAAUCCGACUAGGAACUAUGAGGUUGCGGGUUCGGUCCCUGCCAUUGCUCAGUGGGUUGACGAUCCGGCGUUGCCGUGAGCUGUGAUGUAGGUUGCAGACCUGGCUUGGAUCCCGAGUUGCUGUGGCUCUGGCGUAGGCCGGUGGCUACAGCUCCGAUUUGACCCCUAUCCUGGGAACCUCAAUAUGCCGCGGUAGCGGCCCAAGAAAUAGCAACAACAACAACAACAACAACAAAGACAAAAAAAAGACCAAAAAAAAAAAAAUAAUAAUAUUUUAAAAGCAAUUCCCAGAAUCGAGGGUUAUACUCUGCAGGUGGCCUGAGCCAGGACGGGGCUCACUCGGGAGGACCCUCAGGUGCCGUGUCAGUCUCCUCCCCCAGGUCUUCCACAUCCGAUUCUAUGGUCAGAAUCACAUCUGCCGGGGCUUCACUGACCUCCCUGGAAUGACAAGAAUAAUGCCAAGGCUUUUACUCUCCGAAGCAGCACGUAAACUUUUCAUUAUUUCCUUAUUUUACUUUUGCUUUUGAGGGCCGCGCUAGUGGCACAUGGAAGUUCCCAGGCUAGGGGUCAAAUCAGAGCUGCAGCUGCUGGCCUACCCCACAGCCACAGCAACACCAGGCCUGAGCCUCAUCUGUGACCUACACCACAGCUCACGGCAGUGCUGGAUCCUUAACCCGCUGAGCGGGGCUGGGGAUGGAACCCAAGUCCUCAUGGAUACUGGUCAGGUUCAUACCCCACGGAACCAUAAGAGGAACUCCUGUGUCCUCAUUUUAGACAAGAACUUCAAACUGUCCCCAGUCAUUUACCCUGCACCCUUGUGGAAGAUCUCUUCCUCAUCAGAAGACUCCUUAUCGUGCAGCUUCUCUGCCAUGUUUUUCUUGCGCGUAGCACUGAGAGGUCUGUACGUAUCCCGAAGCCAGAGUGGCCGCCUUCUCCAGAAAAACCCCUGCCUCGGCAACACAGAAAGGGAAAUGUUAAGUCUGCAUCUCCCCUGCUUUCUCCGGCCACGGGACGUUAUGCUCCCGAAAUUUACCUCGCUCUCGCUUUCUCCUGAGCGUCUCUUACGCAGCAGAAAUCCGAAAAAGCCCCUUGGAGGAAAACACACACAGUGAGUGACCCAUGCGCUCUCCAUCUCCCUUCCCGUGUGCUCGCUCUGGUCCUAUUAGGAUGAAAUGGAUAACUCAGUCCAUGAUCACAACAAGCACAAUCACCCCAGAUCUGGGAUCGGAAAAAUAAUGCCGUGCAGGCUGGCCUUCCAGAAGUUCUCCAUGUCUGUCCAAAACGGCCCUCCCGUUGUGUCUCUGGGGAGCCUUUGGCCUGUGGCUUAGCACGGAGCAUGGGUGGGACUUUCAGCCCCACUCAGCUUUGUGGCCCUCCCCCAAGUGCCCCUGUGCAGCGCAAACACUGCCCCAAUCAGGCGGGGCAGAAGAGCAUUAACCCUCUAGAAGCAUUUUACAUGAGUCCCCUUCAGACCUAGCAUCUCGUGUGGCAUUUGCUGGGCGGUAGGGGAGAAGGUGAUUCUCUUUUCCUAGGUGCUUUACUCCAGAAGUUGAAUCCCACCAAGUAAACACCCGAGUCCAACCAGUAAAGUUAUCUAGCUUGCUGACUUUGGUUUUUUGGUUUGUUUUGUUGCUUUUUAGGGCCAAAUCUGCGACAUAUGGAAGUUCCCAGGCUAGGGGUCAAAUUGGAGCUGCAGCUGCCGGCCUACACCACAGCCACAGCAAAGCAGGAUCCAAGCCACGUCUGUGACCUACACCACGGCUCACAGCAACGCUGGACCCUUAACUCACUGAGUGAGGCCAGGGAUCGAACCCGUGUCCUCGUGGUUACUAGCUGGAUUCGUUUCCCCCGAGCCAAGACAGGAGCUCCCAGCUUGCCAACUUUCAUACUGCAGGCUGUCACUGAAUUCUGAGAUCAGUUAAAGGCCAGGACUAGCCACAAAAAAUCUUCUUGUUGAACGCAAAGAGAAUAGAAAAAAAAGUCAGAGUGUACGCUAAGUUUGUUUUAGAAAUGACUGACGUCCAUAUAGUAUGUGUAUACUGACUUGUGAUAGGAAAUGGGGCUCACAGCCCAGGCUUGGAGGGACGUCCCCAGUGGAAAGGGCCCGUCUUCUUUUUGAUGCUCACUAGCAGUAAGGCAACGGGGCAAGACAUUUUCCCUUGCUCUUUCUCCACUUCCUUAUUAGAAAAGGCAGAAACAAACUACUGUCUCAAGUUUCUUCCAGUUCAAAUUCUAUGAGGUUUGGGUAAAGGGAAUAGAGAAUGGGGGCCGGAAGGCCAGCAGGACGAAAAGGGAAGUUUUCCUGCCACUUUAUCGGAAGGAGUCAUACUCUACAUUUCAUCCGCUUUGAGUGAGUCUAGCCCCCAAACUCCCAAAACCAUGCGGCCUUCCCUACCCCAGAGCCUCCACGAAGGCCUCUCCUGGUCUGAUGCCCACCACCAGCAGGAACAGGUACCACCCAAACUGCUGCCCCUCCACCCUUGUCCCUUAAAGGACUAGAGAAAGCAGAUGAAGCUGCACCACUCUCAUUCGAACUCAGCUUUGGCUGGGAGCUAAUUUUGCUGGUAAAUAAAGCAUUUAGGUAAAGACACAGUCUUCCCGCCUUCAGCCGUUUCUUCACUGUAAAAUGAGGAGACCAAAAGAGAUGAGUUCUAAGUUCUCUAGUUCCAAAAAACACUGUUUUAAAAGACCAGUGUUUACCUUCUGCGUCCUACUUUCCCUUCCCGUAAUGUUCUCCUUCGGGAAUAAACCUGUUUGGGAAGAAAACAUGACCACGAUUAGCCAUCACAACCAUUUUCUCCCAAUCUUUAUUCAUUCCUUUUUAUUUUAUCUUGAGUUCGACUCUACAGAGAUCUCCUUUAAAAGUCCUGGGAAUGUACUUUCAGUAAAAGAACCACAUGUAUUUCAGUCCUCAUGACUAAGGAGGGGGUUCGAGCAGUAGUAAGCGGAAAGGUGGCUGUGAUUUUCAGUUUGCGGGUUCUGAAUCUGAAUGAAUUGUUGUCCUUACCUCGAUGAGACAUAAAAUUACAAUCAAAAGCAUCAGCACUACAGCCACAGAUAUUGCCAAGAUGAGUUUGUUAUUAUACCCAUAUCCUGGAACAUCUUUUGUGAGCUAAAAAAAAAUAAAGAACAAUGUUUUAAAAAACAAGGGGAGAGAAAGGAUACAAGCUAACUAUUUUUAAACCUAUUCUAAACAAUAGCUAACCAUUCCCUUUUUUUUUGACCGAGCAUGCAUGCAGAAGUUCCGGGCCAGGGACCAAAUCUGCCCCACAGGAGUGACCCAAGCCAUAGCAAUGACAGCUCUGGAUCCUUCACCCGCUGCACCGCAAGGGAACUCCAGUAGCUAGUUCUUCUUAAACUAUUCUAAAACCCCAUUCUUUCAGAUUUCCCUCUGAGAAAUACGGCAGGAUGUAAUUGAGUGCACUGAUAACAUCACUUUCGUCACUAAAGUCCAACUGCUCAUUCAUGAAGCUCGACAAGCUGACACCACUCUUGUCUGAGGACGGCCUCUCUGGUUCAAUCAUCAGCUCGGUGCUGGUGUUCUUCUUCCGGGCUUGUAACACCUUCAUGAACGAUCCUUCUACAUCCCCUAGAGAUGUCUCUUUAUCUGUCAAAAGAGAAGAGACUGGUUUUGAUCCUUGAAGGCUGAUGGCACGGCUCUUGUCCACAGCCCUGUAUCCCAGUCAGACACCUUAGGCAUCAGCAAACCUCUGAGUGCCACUUAGAGAGCAGACAAAGAAACCCAAACUUAGACCUAUGAUUGGCAACAACCAAAGGUGCAAAAGGUAGCCUCCGAAAAAGCGGCUCUUUAUUCAGAGAAUUCCAUAACGUGAAAUACAGCAACUAUAUAUUUAGGAUUAUUCCCCUGGUCCCAGGACCCCAGAAAAGCCGAGGCUGGAAGACAAACACUCCCCGACUCAGCCGGGCCCUGCGGGUCUACUGCGACUCCUCCCUCAGGCUCACACACCCCAUCCUGUCCUGCCUCAGAAACAGAGGGGCUGCCUCCCCCCACCUCUUCAGUGUGCUUGUGUUCUGGCUGCUAUCACAGAUGACCACGACCACACCUGCAGCUCCCAGGUCCUCGCCUGGACUUGUCUUUCUCCAUCUGCCCACCGAGUCCUUUGCUCGGCCCCUGCUUCCAUAUAUCCCAGCCCUCACGACAGAAGGUUCUACCCAGAAAAAAACACUAUGUCCACCCUGGUUCUUUGCUAAAAUUUGGGCAGGGAUCUGGGGUGCAGGUUAAGAGAUUUUCCAGGCUGUAUGCCAAUGUGGAAGGUUAAUAUGUGAGGCCCUAGAAGGCAAAAGGGAAAAAGCAACUUCUGUCAGAAGCCUACUCUGCUUUCAUUUCACUUUGAAUAUUUCCAGCUCUGCUUGUGGAACCAUCCAAAGCUUCUGACUAGGUGAAGGUAAUGUGUACCACUGUGUAGCUGGGCUUCUCCUCCAGAAGGAUUAAAAGCAUUUGGGGUGGGGGUGGUGAGGGUCAGGGGAGGAGGUAAAGAGUCACAAGAAAGGAGCAGCACAGAUCGGGAGAGAGCCCAAAACCGGGGACAGGAGGUCUGAGCACUAGGCCACGACACUUAACGCCUCUGAUCUUGCUUUUCCUCACCUGUAAAAGGAGAUUAAAAAUGCCUUUUCUGCCCACUUCUGGAGGAGAAGGGAGUAAUACCAUUGGUCAAAAAUUUUUUUUUGAAAAAUAAGCAACCUCGACUUUAUAUAAAUAGCAAAGUGUUACCUAUAAUGUGUUCUAGAUCAUUGAUAGAGACACGUAUUCAAGCCAUCUGGGCAGGAAAGCAGGUUUUGGAAGUUCUCAAGUUAGUGUCCAUAAAUCUACUAUAUAGAAAAAUAGUUGAAAGCACCUAAGUGUUUUGUGGCUAGAGAAGCUUGAGAUUUAGAGCAAGUUCAGAGCUGGACAGUCUAAGAAUAAAAUAGCUCUCCUACCCAUUAGAAGGGCUAGAUCACAGCUUCUGGUUAUGGAACCAAAAAUUCUCAGAUUCCAAAUAAAACAUAAAACAGCAUCACUUGUACUCUUUUAUACAAUUGCAAGAAAAAAAACAAAAUAAGAAUACAUUUACACUCGUUGUGUAAGACAAAGGGUACUUGAGACUUAACGUACAUAAAAUCAGUGUACAGACUGGGAUGCACUAGAGGAAUAAGUUCUCAGUUGCAGGGAGCACCGAAUAUAAUAUGUUAAUUCCCUUCCCCUCUGCAUUCCUUUCUCUUGCUCCUGUAUGUGGAUCUGUCACAUUAUUAAGCUAAGGUAGCUGAGCUAUUAUUAGCUUAAUAAUGUAACCAAGAAUCUAGGGAGUUGGAACUCUGAAUGAAUAAAAAGAAGGCAAUUACAUCAUUAAUUUAACAAUUUAUCAUAAUUGAUGAAAAACAAACAUGAAAAAGGUUAUCAUCAGGCGAUUCGGACUCACCACAACGUGUGCUGUUUUUCAGGCAUCUGUCACAAUGCAGCUUGACUGUCUUGCAGACAACUUCAAUGUUACUUUUAAAUUGGCAGAGGCAGCAAGCCAUAUGGCUAGGCAAGAUCCUGUAAAUGGAAAUGCAGAGAAUUAAAUCUGUGGUAGAGGAGUUAUUUGAGUAGGUAGGAGAGGCAGGCCACAGCCACCACAGGGCGGUGCCAAAAGGAGUUCUUGGGGCAGAAGAACUGGAGAACUGGAGAGGGACUAGUUGGUCAAUUGCUGCUCUUGGCUGUUGUAAAUUAUGGAGGAGGACGGAGGUUCCCAACAGAAGGAUAAGGAUGGCAGCAGAGAGAGCGUGCCUAGAGAAAAAGGUGAUACGUAUUAGAGUAGGGUGACACUGGCCUGUAGUUUAAUUCAGAAGUAUCUCCUCCCAACCCAACAGCUCACUUGGAGUUGUGGAAAGUAACAAAGUGUCUUUUCUAUCAAAGGAAAUCUUGGUUACUCCAUUUUGCUCUGGCUGGGCCUCCGCUGAAUCAACCCUGCGAGACCCCCUUCCUCUUUACCUAUUUUCCCAGUAACAAUUUGUUCCAAAUUAGCCAACCGGGAAGAAUGUGCGCCCUGACCCGACCCAUGGGAAGGGGACAGGCACAUCACCUGCGUUAGGGAUAAAUAGGGGAGGGUCCUUUGUUCGGCGCGCACACUUUUUGGAGUGCCCGCGCCCUUCUGCAGAAGUAAAGAGCCUUGUCGAGAUUUCUCCUUGUCCACGUGUCUCACUUUCCAACACUGACGACCUGAGCCAGAGUUAUUGUAAUUUCCAACAGAGUUGACAGAACACACGAAGAGGGCAGACUUCUAAGAAAAGUCUGAACAAGUCCCCAACGUCUGGAGUCCCUUUCUCAAUUCCUAGUUGUGAGUCGUAAAGAUAUUAGAAAUUACUAAUCAACACGUGGCUAAACAAUAACAGAGAUUGUAUUGGCCAAAUCUGGACAAUCUGAACAUUCAAAAGAAGAAUAUGAGCAUUACAAUAAGGUAUAACAUAACUAAUUCGAAGAAGAGCACAUGAGUCCCUAAUGAUUCUUAUAAAGAAAAGAGGGAGAGCUCUUCUCUACAGAGUAAUAUUAGCUAAUAAAUGCAUAAGGAAUGAUAGCGUCAUCUUGGGAAUUCCCGCUGCGGUACAGCGGGUUAAGGAUCUGGUUGUCUCUGUGGAGGCGCCGGUUUGAUUCCUGGCCGAGUGCAAUGGUAAAGGAUCUGGAAUCGCCACAGCUGUAGCAGCUCUGGCUCAGAUCUGAUCCCUGGCCCAGGAGCUUCCAUAUGCUGUGGGGGCAGCCAAAAAAAGGGAAAGUGUCAUGUUGCAACUACCAAUGUAAUACCUGAUUCCAACAGAGAUUAUCAUGGAUGCACAGCUGGGUGACGAGUCGUUUGACAGUAGGAUCCUCACUGAUCCCAAAGCAUCACCCGGAUUAUUUAUUAACUACCAAGGGGGAAAAUAACUUUACAAUGAAGAGACAUGGAACAUAUCACCUUAAGCAAAUGAUCAAACAUAGCACUGGGCCACCGAAACUGAGCAAGUAGGAAGGAUACAAUGUCUAUGAAGUAGUCAUCCCCAAAAUGUUUACUUUGAAUCUAAUGAAGAAACAAACAAAUCCAGAUUGUAGGGCAAUUUACAAGACAACUGGCUUGGACUCUUCAAAAAUGCCAAUUUCAUAAAAGACCAAAAAAAGAAAAAAGAAAAACAGUAGAGAAAUACUCUCAAUUAAAAGAGACAAAGAUAUGACAUGAGAUGCCUAAUCUUUGAUUGGACCCUGUAGCAAAACAAAACAGACUUAAAGAAUGUCAUUGGUGGGGUUCCCGCUGUGGGACAAUGCGAUUAGGUGGCGUCCUGGGAGCGCACUGGGAUGCAGGUUU
Molecule: non-coding RNA, 8660 nt
Organism: Sus scrofa (pig)
Lineage: Eukaryota; Metazoa; Chordata; Mammalia; Artiodactyla; Suidae
Source: RefSeq, a predicted model, not a curated record